Molecule: ribosomal RNA, 465 nt
Filed under: uncultured bacterium
Lineage: Bacteria
Description: partial 16S ribosomal RNA
Rfam family: Bacterial small subunit ribosomal RNA
Source: RNAcentral
CCUACGGGUGGCAGCAGUGGGGAAUAUUGCGCAAUGGGCGAAAGCCUGACGCAGCGACGCCGCGUGAGGGAUGAAGGUCUUCGGAUCGUAAACCUCUGUCAGCAGGGAAGAACGGUCACUGUGCUAAUCAGCAGUGAAUUGACGGUACCUGCAAAGGAAGCACCGGCUAACUCCGUGCCAGCAGCCGCGGUAAUACGUAGGGGGCAAGCGUUAUUCGGAUUUACUGGGCGUAAAGGGAGCGUAGACGGCAGUUCAAGUCUGGAGUGAAAGGCGGGGGCUCAACCCCCGGACUGCCCUGGAAACUGGCCGGCUGGAGUGCAGGAGAGGUAAGUGGAAUUCCUGGUGUAGCGGUGAAAUGCGUAGAUAUUAGGAGGAACACCAGUGGCGAAGGCGGCUUACUGGACUAUAACUGACGUUGAGGAGCGAAAGCGUGGGUAGCAAACAGGAUUAGAUACCCCAGUAGUC